GAUGAACGCUGGCGGCGUGCCUAAUACAUGCAAGUCGAGCGAACAGAUGAGGAGCUUGCUCCUCUGACGUUAGCGGCGGACGGGUGAGUAACACGUGGAUAACCUACCUAUAAGACUGGGAUAACUUCGGGAAACCGGAGCUAAUACCGGAUAAUAUAUUGAACCGCAUGGUUCAAUAGUGAAAGACGGUUUUGCUGUCACUUAUAGAUGGAUCCGCGCCGCAUUAGCUAGUUGGUAAGGUAACGGCUUACCAAGGCAACGAUGCGUAGCCGACCUGAGAGGGUGAUCGGCCACACUGGAACUGAGACACGGUCCAGACUCCUACGGGAGGCAGCAGUAGGGAAUCUUCCGCAAUGGGCGAAAGCCUGACGGAGCAACGCCGCGUGAGUGAUGAAGGUCAUCGGAUCGUAAAACUCUGUUAUUAGGGAAGAACAAAUGUGUAAGUAACUAUGCACGUCUUGACGGUACCUAAUCAGAAAGCCACGGCUAACUACGUG
RNAcentral lists this ribosomal RNA (497 nucleotides) under uncultured bacterium. Its description in RNAcentral is "partial 16S ribosomal RNA". It matches the Rfam family "Bacterial small subunit ribosomal RNA", at positions 28 to 507 of the family's 1533-position model. The record is from RNAcentral.